This 213-nucleotide unclassified non-coding RNA is filed under the name Hevea brasiliensis (rubber tree). Lineage: Eukaryota; Viridiplantae; Streptophyta; Magnoliopsida; Malpighiales; Euphorbiaceae. The record is from RNAcentral.
AUCAUCCACCAUAUCAUACGUCUUCACCAGAAACGGCGGCGGCGCAUUCGCACUGGGUAUCGGCGCCGGCGCCGGCGCCGUCUGCAACAUUGGCGCUCCUACUCCGUCACCGACAGCAGCCUUCCCGCUGCCAUAAGAAUUCGGCUCCAUUCACGAUAAAACCUACCUCAAACCGGAACUAUUCGGGUCGAGGUCGAAUGAAAUCAAACUCCG